RNAcentral lists this long non-coding RNA (507 nucleotides) under Phoenix dactylifera (date palm). Its description in RNAcentral is "long non-coding RNA (PDAC_LNC001454)". The record is from RNAcentral. Lineage: Eukaryota; Viridiplantae; Streptophyta; Magnoliopsida; Arecales; Arecaceae.
UGCCCCUAGAUCAGUUUGGUCAGGUGACAGUGCCCGACUGCUCAGAUCGGUCAAAGCCAGUAGGAUUCAAUGUGUCAGGUAAAGAUCAUAAGUGGCCAAAUCUAGCUGGGGCUGAAGUAUUGAUCGGUCUACCGCUUGAAUAUCGGAGCAGUUUAGGGUCUCCAAACUGGAUCAACUUGGAUCAGAGCAACAAAAACAUGGCUUACAGUAGGAUCUCCGAAUAUGUCUAGAAAGAAAAUAGGAGAGAGAAUCUUAUCUCGAGUCUAGAUUUGGUUUGAUCCUGGUCAUGGGCUUGGUCCGAGUGGUUUGGAUCGACCAUUAGGAGAAAGCUCUAGAUCUAGUUAAACUGUGGGCUUGCUUAGAGAGAGAGAUACACGAUCUAAGGCUAGUUGAGCUUUUGGGCCUAAUCCACCUAGUUUUGGGCCUAAUUCACUUGGUUAGGUCCAAUCAGAGGCUUGGCGUAGUCCGGUCUGACCAAAAUCGAAAAAGAGAUAUUUAACCUGGGUC